Hipposideros armiger (great roundleaf bat) is the source of this 1486-nucleotide long non-coding RNA. RefSeq lists it as uncharacterized. NCBI's taxonomy places the organism in Eukaryota, Metazoa, Chordata, Mammalia, Chiroptera, Hipposideridae. The record is from RefSeq and is a predicted model, not a curated record. The transcript has 3 exons.
AGAGCGAUGCUCCCUGAGUCAUUCAUCUUCCCAGUGUCGUGUUUGGGGGGUCACACUGCCUGCAGCUCCCUGGGUUCCAGCCAACUCUAGAAUAAUUAGCACCGUGUAGUCCUGGGAAGACCAGUCAGAGGAGACCCAGAGCGAUCCUCAGCCUCGGGCCAGCUGCUUGUCACCCGCCUCCUCCCCGAUCCCUGCAGCCGACAACAGCCAGAUGGCCUGGAGCCGGGAUUCCAAGGACAGGGGCCUUCCCUCCAAGGAGUGAAGACAUUGACAGGAGAACAGAUCACAGAUGUCCUGCCCCCGCCCACACUCGAUGACCAGCGGAGGCGCUAAUGACACUGCAGUCCUCUCCUUUCUUUGACUCCCACCACCCGUGGUGUCACAGGCAGUUCAUCAUCUGUGACCGAGGUGCCCCAUCUCCUCCGGUGCACAUGGCCCAGAGUGGGCCCUGACACUCCAAACGUACCUGGCAGGGGGGGACGAGUUUGUCCGACGCCAGGGCCGCUCUGCUCUCAGGCGCGGUGUCAGGUAGGAAGGCCCAGGCCGCACGCUCUCCCUGGCCUUGCCGACCUCUGCUGGUCUGUCCACACCGGGGCCUUGGCCCGGCCUGCUGGCUCCUGAGACACCUGCGGGGGCUGGCUGGGGUCUGCUCUGCUCUGUCGGUGUGGGGAAUGAACCGUGCGUGUUAUGGAGACUAGGCUUGGAGGAGGACGUGCUUGCAGCAGCAGCAUCAGACCACAGCUCAAGGGCCCUACCUCAGGCCUACUUCUGAGCCUCUUUGGGUGACAGCCCGAAAAUGAGCUGGAGGGGGGACUCUCUAAGCCGGGGAACAUCGCUGCAGAGGUCACCCAUGUGGCCAAGCUGUGAGGUUUCCGGAGACUUGGAGUUGCCGUUGGCCGUGGGCUCAAUAGCUCUAGGCCAACAGCUCCUGGGCGCUGGUCUGUUUUUGUCAAUAAAGUUUUAUUGGCACAUGGCCACGCCCACUGGCUCACACAUUCCGGCUUCCCGCUGCAAUGGCAGAGCUGAGGAGUUAGACAGAGGCCCCAAGCCCUGCAGGCCCCAAAUAUCCCCAAUGUCACAGCCACAGGAGGGGUCCCCGUAGGGAGUGCCCCGUAAGUGGGAGUUGGUUUGCCUUCAGGUCCUGGUACUCACACUAGCCUCACAGAGGCCUGGGGUUACCACUUCUAAGGGGCCCAUGGGGACUUCCAGCUCCGGCCAGGGCCCUGGCCCCGGCGCCUCCUCUGUAAGCCCCCCUGCCUCUUACUGGCGGCCAUGCCACCUGUGCACGCUGGCACUCCCAGCCAUGGACAAGCUGCCUGGCAGAGGCGUUAAGUGCUAACGAAGGUGUUAGCUGGAAAUGAAGGUGAUUGCGGAUAAUGGAAGUGUUAGCUGACAAGAGCGCUAAUGAGAGUUGAGGGAGUGAGCCGUCUCCACACAUUAACCUUUCAAAGUGGGGUGGAAAGUCAGGAGCCCAGAGAUGAGGGGC